This is an RNA transcript of Nycticebus coucang (slow loris), 4135 nucleotides long. It is a transcript of the gene named ORAI calcium release-activated calcium modulator 2, with no coding region annotated. Lineage: Eukaryota; Metazoa; Chordata; Mammalia; Primates; Lorisidae. The record is from RefSeq and is a predicted model, not a curated record. The transcript is spliced from 5 exons.
CCGUGCCCACCCCUCCCUCGGCCGCCAGAGUCAGGCGAGGGUGGGGGGAAGGGCGCCCGCCCAGCUGGGGAGCCAGAAUGGACCUGGGGACUCUCUCCGGAGGAGGGACCCGGCUUCCUCCUAGGCAGGCUCGAGAUGGAGCAGGAGGAGGAGAGGACGCCGCAGAGUUGGGGGGCGCCCAGGUGACCCCAGCCCCGCAGUAUCCCGGCAGGGGUGCGUCGCCAACAGGAUUCAGAGGGGGCCGCGGGUCAGGUCCUGUGGCCGCUGGGGCUAUCCUGGAAAGGGGACCGAGAUGCAGGUAGACGCUUCUCAGAGGCCCCCUCCCCACGCGCCUGUGUGACAGAGACUCCCCAUGGCCGGUGCCCUAGAUGUUUAGAGGAAGUCAUGACAGGCCAACUCCAAAACCUUCCCCCUGGAAAUGUUUCUGACAGACUCCCUCCGCCCCCGGGGGUAUCGCUCAUCUUUAUAGAGAAGGUCACUUUUACCCUGUAAGAACUCUUUACCCUGAUUGCUCCUUAUGAAAACAAGGAAACAAAAAACCCAAGGAGAUUCAGCCAGCAGAGGCACCUUUGGAGCCUGAGCCUGAGCCUCCCAUCAGAAAUGUAGGGCUCACUCUGUCCCAACCCCACCUGCUUCCUGAGGUCAAGCUAUGAGGACCAGACUCUGUCCCUGCCCUUAGGCCCUGAGGCCUGGACAGGUCCUCCCCUGAGAGUCAAAGGAUGGAUUUCAGCCUGUCCUGGGCUGCUCUGUCUUGAGGAGGUGGCUUUUAUACCUCCAGAACUGCAGGCCUGUCUCAAGACCCUGCUCCUGGCAGACUGAUGGUCCUUCCUUUUCAACUCCACCCACUGAGGGACAUCUGCAGGGCCAAGCCUGCCGUAGCCACUCCCUGGAAGCCACCCUCAGACCUCACUGCCCUGAGUGUUCCUUCUACACUCUCAGACUUGGGUCCGGUCUAUCUUGAUGGUCUGUGGACUUCUCUUUUGUCCCGUUGGAAGUCACUAGGGCCUUCCCUGCUUGCAGUCUGUCAAACAUUUCCCUGGGUUGAACUGUGGUCCCAAAGCAGUCUGACCCAGCAGUCCCCAGAUGGUUUCCCUCACCAGCUCCUACUAUGCCCCUACAGCCUAACACUGCCAGAGAAAGGCCAGCACAGUCAUGCUGCCUGGGCCAGUAUCCAAGUAUCUUCCACUCACAUCUCCCUGCACCCACCAUGCCCCAGACAGCCAUCCUUCCUGCCAUGUCCCCUGCAGGGUGGGAGCCAUCCUAAAUGUGCCUGGAGCUUAUCUUCCUGCUGCUCAGAACUCUUACAUGUUGGGGGAAGGGGAUGUUCCAGGGAUGGAAGUGCUUGAAUGCAGUGCUGCUGGCUGAGAUGGGACUGAGCACCCGAGUUGGCGUUCUUACAAAUGACCUGCCUGGCUCCCACCAUGAGCACUGAGCUCAACGUUCCUGUGGACUCCUCCACUCCCGCUUGCUCUGAGCCUGGCCACAAGGGCAUGGAUUACCGCGACUGGGUCCGCCGCAGCUACCUGGAACUGGUCACUUCCAAUCACCACUCGGUGCAGGCUCUGUCCUGGAGGAAGCUCUACCUGAGCAGGGCCAAACUGAAGGCCUCCAGCAGGACCUCAGCCCUCCUCUCUGGUUUUGCCAUGGUAGCCAUGGUGGAGGUGCAGCUGGAGACGCAGUACCAGUACCCGCGGCUGCUGCUCAUUGCCUUCAGCGCCUGUACCACAGUAUUGGUGGCCGUGCACCUGUUUGCUCUGCUCAUCAGCACAUGCAUCCUGCCGAACGUGGAGGCUGUGAGCAACAUCCACAACCUCAACUCCAUCAAUGAGUCGCCGCACGAGCGUAUGCACCCCUACAUUGAGCUGGCCUGGGGCUUCUCCACCGUGCUGGGCAUCCUGCUCUUCCUGGCUGAGGUGGUGCUCCUCUGCUGGAUCAAGUUUCUCCCUGUGGAUGCCAGGCGCCAGCCUGGCCCCGGCAGCCACACAGGCUGGCAGGCCGCCCUCGUGUCCACCAUGAUCAUGGUGCCUGUGGGCCUCAUCUUUGUGGUCUUCACCAUCCACUUCUACCGCUCGCUGGUGCGCCACAAGACAGAGCGCCACAACCGUGAGAUUGAGGAGCUGCACAAGCUCAAGGUGCAGCUAGAUGGGCACGAGCGUAGCCUGCAGGUCGUGUGAGGGGCUGGGGGCCUGUGGUGGGCCUGUGCCUGGGAGUCAGGAGCAAACUGCUUGCAUUUGGGGAGACUCAAAAAUGCAGACUUGCACCCCAGGCUGCUUAGAUACUGCCAGAUAGUUCAAGACCAAAGUUGUACUCCUGUCUUAAUGUAAUAACCCAGAUGAUUUUCCUGAAAAUGUGGAACAUCUGGUAGUUAAACAAGAGGCUCUUCUUGGCUGCCAGGGGCAUGUCUGAUGGCGAUAAGGCAAGGACUGUGGCAGUCACCUGGGAGCAGGAAGGCAGAUUGGUGCUUCUCUUCCCAGCCCUGGGGGAAGUUGAGUGGCCUGGAUUGGUGGGCAGCAGGCAGGAGCUUAGGGCACAAGUCAGUACAGCAUGUGGGAUGGGUGCUGCAGCUGAUGUCAAAGUUGUUAGUCCUUGCAGGAGACUUCCAAGGGUGAGGCCUGGCCAGGGCCAAGGAGGUGCAUCCAUGAGCGGUGCGAGGUGCCCACUGAGGAGGCCAAGUUAGUUGAGGGCACUAAGCUCAAAUUCUUUUCCCAGCCAGCAUGAAGCCCAAGACACAUUGACUCAGUGAGGCCACCAGGUUGGGAAAGGACUCAGUCUAAAAGCCUCCAUCUCUUGGUCAUAGAAUGACCCCUUAGCCUAAGUCAGCUCCCUUUGGGCUCUGUCAGCAGCAGGACUGGGGCCCAGCAGCUGAGCCUUCCCAGCUUGCUGCUGCUUGUAGCCCCAGGUGGCAGGAGGGACAGCUUGGGGGGAACUUCUUAUCUAGACAGGCCAUUGGCUUGGUCUGGCCUGUGGAUAGUGGGUCUAGGAGCCAGCCUAGGCCAAGUGCAGGCCCUCUUUGUUAGGACACCAAGAAACUGCAGGGAUGGCAAGAUCCGAUCCCCCGUGUGCUCCCUUGCUGGGCCCUCCAGGCCUCUGCCAACACAGGAUCCCUAGUUCACACAGUGACUUAGCUGUGCAGUAUGGUUGCAGUGUUUUCACUGAAGUGAUCUGCUAGACCUUCCCCUGUGUUCUCGGGCCCCACAGCACCCUGAGCUGUUACACACCAUGUUGACCCCACUCCCCGCCAGCAACCUGGAGAAGCACUUUUUUUUUUUUUUUGAGACGGAGCCUCAAGCUGUCGCCCUGGGUAGAGUGCCGUGGCAUCACAGCUCACAACAACCUCCAUCUCCUGGGCUCAAGCAAUUCUCUUGCUUCAGCCUCCCAAGUAGCUGGGACUACAGGCACCCGCCACAAUGCCCGGCUAUUUUUUGGUUGCAGCCGUCAUUGUUUGGCAGGCCCAGGGUGGAAUCAAACCUGCCAGCUCAGGUGUAUGUGGCUGGCACCUUAGCCACUUGAGCCACAAGCGCCGAGCUGAGAAGCACAUUUUUGUUCUUAUGGUCAUUGGGCUUUGUUCCGCCCUGAUUACAGUUCUUUUAACAGUUCAAUAUCACUGCAGGGUCUGGGUUGUCUGUGCUGUGGAAUUCCAGGUAGCCUGGGUGAGGUCUCUGGGACAUGAAUGCUGUUGAGAACACAGACGUUAACAUGCAGCUCAGAGAUGUCAAGGGUGAGGCUGAGUCCCACUGUAAGUUUUUAGUACCUAUGGGGAGCCUGGACAUCGUGCCCUGUGGGGCCAGAGAAGACCCCUCCAUCUUUCCAAGGAUAGGUCAUGUCCCCUGCAGACAUUUGUCUGUGACACACUUGCCUUCUAGUGCAUGUCUGUAUUUCCACAGAGCCUUGUUGAAAAGGUUCUGGGGCGGCGCCUGUGGCUCAGUGAGUAGGGCGCCGGCCCCAUAUGCCGAGGGUGGUGGGUUCAAACCCAGCCCCGGCCAAACUGCAACAAAAAAAUAGCCGGGCGUUGUGGCGGGUGCCUGUAGUCCCAGCUACUUGGGAGGUUGAGGCAAGAGAAUCACGUAAGCCCAAGAGUUAGAGGUGCUGUGAGCCGUGUGACGCCACGGCACUCUACCCGAGGGCAGUACAGUGA